This 464-nucleotide ribosomal RNA is filed under the name uncultured bacterium. RNAcentral's name for it is "partial 16S ribosomal RNA". It matches the Rfam family "Bacterial small subunit ribosomal RNA", at positions 28 to 506 of the family's 1533-position model. The record is from RNAcentral.
GACGAACGCUGGCGGCGUGCUUAACACAUGCAAGUCGAACGGAAAGGCCCUGCUUGCAGGGUACUCGAGUGGCGAACGGGUGAGUAACACGUGGGUGAUCUGCCCUGCACUUCGGGAUAAGCCUGGGAAACUGGGUCUAAUACCGGAUAGGAGCCAUUUUUAGUGGGAUGGUUGGAAAGUUUUUUCGGUGUAGGAUGAGCUCGCGGCCUAUCAGCUUGUUGGUGGGGUAAUGGCCUACCAAGGCGGCGACGGGUAGCCGGCCUGGGAGGGUGGACGGCCACAUUGGGACUGAGAUACGGCCCAGACUCCUACGGGCGGCAGCAGUCGGGAAUAUUGCACAAUGGGCGCAAGCCUGAUGCAGCGACGCCGCGUGGGGGAUGACGGCCUUCGGGUUGUAAACUCCUUUCGCUGGGGACGAAGCUUUUUGUGACGGUACCUAGAUAAGAAGCACCGGCUAACUACGU